This 72-nucleotide transfer RNA is filed under the name Candidatus Woesearchaeota archaeon. Its description in RNAcentral is "tRNA-Tyr". It matches the Rfam family "tRNA". Rfam says of the family: Transfer RNA (tRNA) molecules are approximately 80 nucleotides in length. Their secondary structure includes four short double-helical elements and three loops (D, anti-codon, and T loops). Lineage: Archaea; Nanobdellati; Candidatus Woesearchaeota. The record is from RNAcentral.
CCCUGCGUAGCUCAACGGUAGAGCGUCCGGCUGUAGACCGGAAGGUUGCAAGUUCAAAUCUCGCCGCAGGGA